AACUAUUCAUGGGCACUCACAGCAAGGCAACCCCAUCUUGUAGGAGGGCAUCUGUCCCCAGGGCAGGGAUCAGGAGACCUGUUUCCAGAGGCUUCCAGGGUAACUUGGAGCAAAUCACUUACCUUUCUUGGACUCAGUCCCUGGAAGAAGAGGCCAUUCCAGACCGCUUCCUCCCACGAACUCAUUCAUUCUGUCAGCAAACGUAGACUGGGGUUCUGCUGAGGGAGGCCGAUACAACCCACCACUGCCCACGGGCUGUGCACGGCUUUGCUGUGGGAACAGGCCUGUAACUGCGGCACAACCUGCGAUCUGGACAAAGGGCAGAGGAAGCUGAGACUCUUUCCCCUGGGGUGGGGGCUUGAGGGGCUUGGGAGGACUCUCCAGAAGAGGUGACAUUUCAACAGGGCCUUGAAAGCCAAAUAGUCCGCUCCCAUGUACCAGUACCUGGAUAGGAAACUGUUCAAGGAAGCCUACCAGAUUGCUUGCUUGGGUGUCACAGACACUGAUUGGCGUGAACUGGCCAUGGAAGCGCUAGAAGGUUUAGAUUUUGAAACAGCAAAGAAGGCCUUCAUCAGAGUACAAGACCUCCGAUAUUUAGAGCUCAUCAGCAGCAUUGAGGAUUUCCUUGGAUCUGGAGACCCCAAAGAAACAAAGAUGCUAAUCACCAAACAGGCUGACUGGGCCAGAAAUAUCAAGGAGCCCAAAGCCGCCGUGGAGAUGUACAUCUCAGCAGGAGAGCACGUCAAGGCCAUCGAGAUCUGUGGUGACCAUGGCUGGGUUGACAUGUUGAUCGACAUCGCCCGCAAGCUGGACAAGGCUGAGCGCGAGCCCCUGCUGCUGUGCGCUACCUACCUCAAGAAGCUGGACAGCCCUGGCUAUGCUGCUGAGACCUACCUGAAGAUGGGUGACCUCAAGUCCCUGGUGCAGCUGCACGUGGAGACCCAGCGCUGGGAUGAGGCCUUUGCUUUGGGUGAGAAGCAUCCUGAGUUUAAGGAUGACAUCUACGUGCCGUAUGCUCAGUGGCUAGCAGAGAACGAUCGCUUUGAGGAAGCCCAGAAAGCGUUCCACAAGGCUGGGCGACAGAGAGAAGCGGUCCAGGUGCUGGAGCAGCUCACAAACAAUGCCGUAGCAGAGAGCAGGUUUAAUGAUGCUGCCUAUUAUUACUGGAUGCUGUCCAUGCAAUGCCUCGAUAUAGCUCAAGAUCCUGCCCAGAAGGACACAAUGCUUGGCAAGUUCUACCACUUCCAGCGUUUGGCAGAGCUGUACCAUGGUUACCAUGCCAUCCAUCGCCACACGGAAGAUCCGUUCAGUGUCCAUCGUCCUGAAACUCUUUUCAACAUCUCCAGGUUCCUGCUGCACAGCCUUCCCAAGGACACCCCCUCGGGCAUCUCUAAAGUGAAAAUACUCUUCACCUUGGCCAAGCAGAGCAAGGCCCUCGGUGCCUACAGGCUGGCCCGGCACGCCUAUGACAAGCUGCGUGGCCUGUACAUCCCUGCCAGAUUCCAAAAGUCCAUUGAGCUGGGUACCCUGACCAUCCGCGCCAAGCCCUUCCACGACAGUGAGGAGUUGGUGCCCUUGUGCUACCGCUGCUCCACCAACAACCCGCUGCUCAACAACCUGGGCAACGUCUGCAUCAACUGCCGCCAGCCCUUCAUCUUCUCCGCGUCUUCCUACGACGUGCUACACCUGGUUGAGUUCUACCUGGAGGAAGGGAUCACUGAUGAAGAAGCCAUCUCCCUCAUCGACCUGGAGGUGCUGAGACCCAAGCGGGAUGACAGACAGCUAGAGAUUGCAAACAACAGCUCCCAGAUUCUGCGGCUAGUGGAGACCAAGGACUCCAUCGGAGAUGAGGACCCGUUCACAGCUAAGCUGAGCUUUGAGCAAGGUGGCUCAGAGUUCGUGCCAGUGGUGGUGAGCCGGCUGGUGCUGCGCUCCAUGAGCCGCCGGGAUGUCCUCAUUAAGCGAUGGCCCCCACCCCUGAGGUGGCAAUACUUCCGCUCGCUGCUGCCUGACGCCUCCAUUACCAUGUGCCCCUCCUGCUUCCAGAUGUUCCAUUCUGAGGACUAUGAGUUGCUGGUGCUUCAGCAUGGCUGCUGCCCCUACUGCCGCAGGUGCAAGGACGACCCUGGCCCAUGACCAGCAUCCUGGGGACGGCCUGCACCCUCUGCCCGCCUUGGGGUCUGCUGGGCUGUGAAGGAGAAUAAAGAGUUAAACUGUCAGAAUGUG
This 2226-nucleotide small RNA is filed under the name Pan troglodytes (chimpanzee). Its description in RNAcentral is "retained intron". Lineage: Eukaryota; Metazoa; Chordata; Mammalia; Primates; Hominidae. The record is from RNAcentral.